GGGGGCUGUAGCCCAGUGGUAAGGCACAUCCUUUGCAUGCAAAAGGUCCCAGGUUCAAUCCCUGGAAUCUCCA
This is a non-coding RNA of Podarcis lilfordi (Lilford's wall lizard), 73 nucleotides long. The record is from the annotation of a GenBank genome assembly. Lineage: Eukaryota; Metazoa; Chordata; Lepidosauria; Squamata; Lacertidae.